Molecule: long non-coding RNA, 2370 nt
Filed under: Gallus gallus (chicken)
Lineage: Eukaryota; Metazoa; Chordata; Aves; Galliformes; Phasianidae
Description: lncRNA (ENSGALG00010011324.1)
Source: RNAcentral
UUCUCCAAGUAGCUGAAGAAUAUAAGCAUCAAGAUAAUCUUGGUAUGGUGAUAUAACUACAGUAGUAAAAGGUACUAAUAUAGUAAUUACUAGAAAUGAUGGGGAAAACGGGCAGAAUAGCUGGGUAAAUCCUUUCUUUUGGACGAUGCGUGGAAUUUCUUCUUGAGAAAUUAGAAUACUUGUUCUUUACACCACUUCAGACUUCUUUAAGGCUUGCUUUUUUCAUUUGAAAUAGUCUUUUUAAAGAAUCACAGAGGGGAAAAAAUAGCAAAUGAUGUCAAAGUCAAGUGAAAUGCACAAUCCUUUGUGUGUCUACCAGUAUAUUCUAAUUACUUGAUCUUCAAAAAUAAAAAAUAAAAAAUAAAUGAUGUUGUAAUAUGAACAACUGGAAGAGAGAAUCAUCAGAAGAAACAUAAAGGCAAAAGAAACAUGGGCUGCAUUAAAAAAGCAUCUAUGUUUGAUAAAGAAGCUUACAAAAGAAAACAACUUCUUCCGGGAAUGUAAAGGUUUUAGCUCUGGAGCAGAAAGUUGGAUAUAGUUGCGGUAGGUGAAAACACAGAAAUGCAAAAGGAGAGUUCUCCUAGAGCUCAUGUAGCGGUUAUGGUGGGGUGAACGAACCCUGCUUUGCUUUUGGCUCAAAGCUUGCUUUCGCAGGCAUUUCUGGGGGUGGUGCAGUCACCAACCCUGGGGGUGUUCAAGAAACAUUGAGCUUUUGUACCUAGGGGUGUGGAGUCAUGGGACAUAUUGGUGAUAGGUGGAUGGUUGGAGCCCUUGGCGGUCAUUUCCAGCCUUGCUGAUUCCCUGAGUCCUGUUUCUUAGCUCCAGAAUUCCACUGUCUCCUUCCCAAGGGUCAACAGGUAUUUGUCGACGGGGUGUAACGCCUCUCAUGCACGAAGAAGACAUUUGGGAAUUGGGAUGGAUUUUAUUGACAUGAUUGGUGACAGGGUGACAAUGGUGACAGACCCCUCAUGCUUGUGCAGACCCAAUGGUGUCCCGAUGAAGGGCCGCAGUGUGUUGUGGGGUCAGAAAAGAGCGGGCUUAGGUGGACGGAUGCCAAGGGCAGUCGCCAGCUCUCCAGGCAGGACCCAGCGAAGGAUGUCCUUCUGCAGCACAAACAGGGUGAAGAAGACAAGCUGCAGCAGGCCCAAGAACAGCAGAAACGCCCUGCGGAACAGAAGAAGGUCCAGUCAGAUUCCGGGGGCACGUUUGUCACAGCACUUUCCAUCCAGCCCUGGCAAAUGGCCCGUGGACAUGUGCCAUACAGGGAGCAAGGGAAUCUGUCGUAGGUCUGCGCAGGGCUGCCAAGAUCGCCACCCCACCUGCUCUCCCACCCAGGACCCUAAGCAAUAGUGAAGCAUUUUAUCUCCAAACAGUCAAAAGCUGCCUGAUGGUCUCUGGACCCCAGGGCGACUCACCGCAGCCAGGAAGUUACAAGUGGGUGCUUCUGUGCUGCCGCCUGCUCAUCCUAGAGGACAAAGCAAAGCAGGGCCACGCGUUGGGGUGAGCGCAGGUUUGGGCACUCGGAAGCCCUCCUUCGUCCCCACAACCAGAGGGAGGCCCAUAUCCCCUGCGGUGGCCCGGAGGUGAGCCUUCCCUCCCCAAGGCCCCGGUGGGGCUUUCUCUCUUACCAAUCGCACAGCCACUGUCUCCUGCAGCAGGGAACUCAUGUGCGCUUCCCUGCGUGUCAUCUUCCUCCUGCUACAGACAGGGGAGUUUGGUGUGUGAGAAGAGGCCUCGGCCGGCACCAGGACCUCACCCCCUCCCCACGCCCCCCAUCCCAAUGUGGCCACGGGGACCCGAGGCAGCUGCCCGGCCUCUGCUGGAGCUGGGGCGGGCACCUCUGGGUGCCAGACGUGCACAGGCCCAGCCUUCCCGAGCUCCAGCCGACGGCCCAGAUGGCUGGGGGCUGCUGGGAUCCCAGCUCCCCCCUGCCUCAGGUCUGGGCUGUGCUGCUACUUACGGGGCAGUGCGCUUUUGGAUCAUCUGUAGUGUAUUCUGGAGGUUGCUCAUCUCCAGCUCCAGCUCCUCCUUCAGUGCCUGGAGAAGGAAAGGGUCCGGUCAAGAGCCUGUCCCGUGUCUGCUGGCAGGGGGCUUUCCCCGAUCAAUGCGCUGCUCUCCAUUCUCUCCCUCCCACCGUGCGUACCUCACGGAUUUUGGCCUGCUCUUGGAGAGCAGCUGCCAGCUCCGCAGACCUCUUCUUACACUGCAAGGCAAUUGGGACCAGUUGCAUGGAUGUAGGGUGGGAAAUGGCAGCCCAUUGCCAGGGCACAGCAAGGCCAGCGUGGAGCAGGACAGCUAGCCUUGCGGCGCCCUGGCUGCGUGGCCCAGCAGCUCUGCCCUGCGGGGUUUCUGCAGGUGGCUCACACACCU